GAUUUAUUAUCCAUUCUGACUCUAAUGACAAAGUCUUAGUUGUGUUUGCUAUCCAGCUGCACGUCUAUUAGAAUAUUUAGGAACUAAACACAAUACUUAAUAAAGGAUAAAGAAAUAAAUACAUUUUAAUGUCAUGAAUGAAAGCUUCAAGAGCUCAUGGAGGAGCCACUUGAGAAAAAGCAGGUUGAACAAUAUGAAAGGAAUCAAAUUCAAUAACACAACAAGUAUAUCCCUUGGAAAUAGCCAAAGCAGAUCACUUCUUUAACUGCUAAGCCUUCUGCCGCAGGAGGAGAGGAGCUUAAGAAAGAUCUUGAACAUCCACCCACUAACUGACCCUGUGAGUUUCAAACAACAACUUCUAAACCAACUAUGGAAGACUGGUAGCCAAAGGAGGCAUCGACAUUGAAUUUCAGUACUCCAUUUGUAGGGCGAGACCAUAUGUAAGAAGUAAGCCUUUGUGGAGGAAAAAUAGCAGGCAGAGAAUGCAUUUGUAUAGCUCCUGUUGAUUGCAUAUCUGCAAGUUCAUUCUAAGCCUUAAAAAUAGUCAAAUGAGGAUUCAGUUCCACUCCUUCAAAAAUAGCUUUAUUCCUUGAUUUCCAAAUAUGCCAACUUAACAGGCAUGCUAACUGAAUUUCAUGUUGAUCCUUAUGGGAGACUGAAAGAUAUAAGUUUCGCAACCACUUCUUAAAAGAGACAAAACUAGAAGAGGUUGGGUAGAAACCCAAUCUAGAACCAAACCAACAUGCUCAAGCAUGGUUACAAGCAAACAAGAGAUGCUCUAAGGCUUUCAUAGUACAGUUACACAAAGGACAAGCAAGAGAGGAUGAACAUCCUCUAAUAAAAAGAUUCUCCUUAGUUGCCAGAGAAUUAUGACAUGCCCUCCAAAUGAAGUUGUGAAUCUUAGGUUGGAUGGGAAGAUGCCAAAUCUUACGCCAAAAAGCUGGAGCAGGAGCAUAAGAGAUUGAUGAACUUGAUUGUUGGCCUUGCCUAGCUUGAGCUAAUUUGAGCUUAUAAUAGACAAAUUUAACGGAAGCAUUCCCACUUCUAGAAAAAUGCCACACCCUUCCUAUCUCCGUUUGAUGAACACCAAGAGGAAUUUUGAGAAUUUCCCCAAGGUUUAGACCAAACAUUAAGAAAAGAUGAUUCUGUAAUGUGCCAUCUUAACCCCAUCUUCAGAGCUGCCUGUCCCACUAGUGAACUUCUCCACCCCCAAGAUGGUGAAUAACCUUCCAAGCUGUUAAGAAAUUCGAGGAAUAGAAAUAAAUACCCUUCAUUAUAUGAGACCAAAGCAAAUGAGGGAACUUAAUCAAUCUCCAA
Molecule: unclassified non-coding RNA, 1317 nt
Filed under: Hevea brasiliensis (rubber tree)
Lineage: Eukaryota; Viridiplantae; Streptophyta; Magnoliopsida; Malpighiales; Euphorbiaceae
Source: RNAcentral